UGUGGCCUUGAGCCGUGGCUUUCGGAGCUAACGCGUUAAGUAGACCGCCUGGGGAGUACGGUCGCAAGAUUAAAACUCAAAUGAAUUGACGGGGGCCCGCACAAGCGGUGGAGCAUGUGGUUUAAUUCGAUGCAACGCGAAGAACCUUACCUACUCUUGACAUCCAGAGAACUUUCCAGAGAUGGAUUGGUGCCUUCGGGAACUCUGAGACAGGUGCUGCAUGGCUGUCGUCAGCUCGUGUUGUGAAAUGUUGGGUUAAGUCCCGCAACGAGCGCAACCCUUAUCCUUGUUUGCCAGCGAGUAAUGUCGGGAACUCCAGGGAGACUGCCGGUGAUAAACCGGAGGAAGGUGGGGACGACGUCAAGUCAUCAUGGCCCUUACGAGUAGGGCUACACACGUGCUACAAUGGCGCAUACAGAGGGCGGCCAACUUGCGAAAGUGAGCGAAUCCCAAAAAGUGCGUCGUAGUCCGGAUUGGAGUCUGCAACUCGACUCCAUGAAGUCGGAAUCGCUAGUAAUCGUGGAUCAGAAUGCCACGGUGAAUACGUUCCCGGGCCUUGUACACACCGCCCGUCACACCAUGGGAGUGGGCUGCAAAAGAAGUAGGUAGUUUAACCUUCGGGGGGACGCUUACCACUUUGUGGUUCAUGACUGGGGUGAAGUCGUAACAAGGUAGCGCUAGGGGAACCUGGCGCUGGAUCACCUCCUUAAACGAUGAU
Molecule: ribosomal RNA, 718 nt
Filed under: Vibrio parahaemolyticus
Lineage: Bacteria; Pseudomonadati; Pseudomonadota; Gammaproteobacteria; Vibrionales; Vibrionaceae
Description: bacterial SSU rRNA
Rfam family: Bacterial small subunit ribosomal RNA
Source: RNAcentral